GCACUCAUUUUGACAGCACAUAUACUAAAAUUGGAAUGAUACAGAGAGGAUUACAUGGCCCCUGUGCAAGGAUGAGAUGCAAAUCCAUGAAGGCUUCCAUAUUUUA
RNAcentral lists this small nuclear RNA (106 nucleotides) under Dasypus novemcinctus (nine-banded armadillo). The record is from RNAcentral. Lineage: Eukaryota; Metazoa; Chordata; Mammalia; Cingulata; Dasypodidae.